Molecule: ribosomal RNA, 277 nt
Filed under: uncultured bacterium
Lineage: Bacteria
Description: partial 16S ribosomal RNA
Rfam family: Bacterial small subunit ribosomal RNA
Source: RNAcentral
GAUAAACGCUGGCGGCGUGCCUAACACAUGCAAGUCGAACGUCCUGUUGCCCGCAAGGGUAGCAGGGAGUGGCGGACGGGUGAGUACCACGUGAGUGAUCUACCUUGAGGUGAGGAAUACCGGCGAGAAAUCGCCGACAAGACCGCAUAGGCUCGUGCGUAUCGCACGUGCGAGCAAAGUGGUUCUCUUCGGAGAGCGACGCCUCAAGAGGAGCUUGCGCCCGAUUAGCUGGUUGGUGGGGUAAGAGCCUACCAAGGCGACAAUCGGUAGCUGGUCU